Molecule: long non-coding RNA, 1745 nt
Filed under: Scophthalmus maximus (turbot)
Lineage: Eukaryota; Metazoa; Chordata; Actinopteri; Pleuronectiformes; Scophthalmidae
Description: lncRNA (ENSSMAG00000021918.1)
Source: RNAcentral
UGACGAUUGAGCCAGGUGUAUUUGAAGGGGUUCUGUCUCCCAUCAAUCACAGAUCUCACACCUAUACUUCCUUUGCAGGCGCCUGGGGGGCGUAAAAGGGACAGAUGUCCCUCGGGGCACAUUAUAAGGACGUACGAAUAGCAGAGAGGUGUAACCUGACCCUCAUCAAAAUCCAGAAACAUCACUCAAGCGCUCCAGCGACAGAUCCGCCGGAGAUCACAUGGCGUCGGGAAAAAAAAGAAAGAAAAAAAAAACAUUUAAGAAGAAUGUUGAAAGAAAACGACACCUGACAGUUCACUAAUUGGCCAUUUCUAAUUUCAAAGAGCCGCACUCGAGCUCGCCCCACUCGUCCUCCCCUUCACAAAGAUUGUGAUUGACAGUCAGUUCAAGAUGGGCGAACCGCUCCUCCUACAGUCUUUUCAUGUUCAUGGUAUCGCCUUGAGAGUUUUCUCCCGCUAGAGAGAAAUUUACUGUGAAGAAGAAGAAAAAAAACAGAAGCAGUAUCUUCGCCAUCUGAACUUAUCUUUCCAUCAAAUAUCCUGCAGGAGGGGUGUUGUCGGCGGAGCAGGUGCAGGUGGGGAGGUUUCUCCAACUGUGGGUGUGAGGCAAUGUACGGCACAGUCAAACUACCCUGAUGCCCCGCGUAGCGAUUUGUCAAAAUGAAUUGUGGUCAAGAAUCUUAUUAAUAACUAUAAAAAGGAGAAAAAAAAGAGAAGUCACUGCAAUGUCUCUUAUCCAUUUGCUUCUCUCUAUUUCCCCUUCAUCUGCUGCCAUUCAUCUGUGACUGAUCAAUGUAUAUGUGUGUGUGUGUGUGUGUGUGUGUGUGUGUGUGUGUGUGUGUGUGUUUCACAAAAUGGUCUUUAUCUGUCUGUGCAUGCGAUGUCUGUCUAUUUCUUCUCUUGCCAGGCCUCUGUAGUGGUUUUUAAGAAAAACUAUUUCUAUCUGCAAAAAAGCACCACCUCCGCCGAAGGGCUUUGAUAAAUCACUAUCCAGGUGCUGCUCCAAUUUGUCUUCAUCAUUAACUUUUACCGAGCUGUAACCUAUCCGUCAUUGAGCGAAAACCCCUAAGCAGACGUUUUGAUGUGUUCAUGUGUGAGCACAUACAGCUUUGCACUUGCUCAAUCCCUCAAUUAAUUGAGAGGGCCUGAGGCGUUGAGUGAACUAGAAAUGCUUUUAUUUUUUUUUCCCCCGCUCAUUUUUCUUUUGUGUGUUUUUUGGGCUGUUGGUCAUGGGUGGUAGCAUCUGCAUAGUCAUGACUUCGUCACCUGAAGCAUGACCAUCUUAGUAUGACAGUGGAAAUGUAUGUGCCACUGUUGCCCUUGAGCAGUAGAGAGGGAACAUGCGAAGAUUUGCUGCAUAAGGUGUUUUUAUUGGGGGGCUUCCUGUACCAUAGGCGGUACAGGUACUGUCCAUUUAUAGGGGUGUCCCAGAUAAGUAGUUGUUACAAAAAAAAGCCCGAAACAACAUAACUGCAUAGCCUAUUUAAUAUGCACAAUUUUCUGGGUUAGACAAAGCAUCAACCUGAUGAUUUAUGGCCAAAUAUGACUCUUGUCAUAUUGUUGGUGGGGUAGAAAGCGGCCCUGGCAGUCACACAGUCACACACAUCCAAACUGAUGGAACUGAUAGACACGACCAGUACAACAAUCCAGCAAAGGUCGAUCAAAGUAUUUCACAAUUGUUUCAGAUUAUACACCAGAUCUGAGUCACUGGUAACACUCUCUGGAUCGUGUCACUAAAAGACACGA